Molecule: ribosomal RNA, 768 nt
Filed under: uncultured bacterium
Lineage: Bacteria
Description: bacterial SSU rRNA
Rfam family: Bacterial small subunit ribosomal RNA
Source: RNAcentral
AGAGUUUGAUCAUGGCUCAGGACGAACGCUGGCGGCGUUAACACAUGCAAGUCGAGCGGAAAGGCCCUUCGGGGUACUCGAGCGGCGAACGGGUGAGUAACACGUGAGUAACCUGCCUUCAGCUUUGGGAUAACCCUCGGAAACGGGGGCUAAUACCGGGUAUUCACACUUGGUGGCAUCGUUGGGUGUGGAAAGUUUUUCGGCUGGGGAUGGGCUCGCGGCCUAUCAGCUUGUUGGUGGGGUAAUGGCCUACCAAGGCGGCGACGGGUAGCCGGCCUGAGAGGGCGACCGGCCACACUGGGACUGAGACACGGCCCAGACUCCUACGGGAGGCAGCAGUGGGGAAUAUUGCACAAUGGGCGGAAGCCUGAUGCAGCGACGCCGCGUGGGGGAUGACGGCCUUCGGGUUGUAAACCUCUUUCGACCCUGACGAAGCGUGAGUGACGGUAGGGGGAGAAGAAGCACCGGCCAACUACGUGCCAGCAGCCGCGGUAAGACGUAGGGUGCGAGCGUUGUCCGGAUUUAUUGGGCGUAAAGAGCUCGUAGGCGGCUCGUCGCGUCGACCGUGAAAACUUGGGGCUUAACCCUAAGCUUGCGGUUGAUACGGGCGGGCUAGAGUUCGGUAGGGGAGACUGGAAUUCCUGGUGUAGCGGUGAAAUGCGCAGAUAUCAGGAGGAACACCGGUGGCGAAGGCGGGUCUCUGGGCCGAUACUGACGCUGAGGAGCGAAAGCGUGGGGAGCGAACAGGAUUAGAUACCCUAGUAGUCC